CAUAAAUACUCCCUCUUACUGAAGAAAAAACACAAACUCAAAUACUAACCACUAUAAAUCAGUUGCUUAAUCUAAAAAUCUACAAAAUGCCUAAUGAUAUAACCUUUAACAUUCUUCUAAAACUUGAUGUCAAAUCGCUUUUACGAUUCAAAUGCGUUUGCAAAUCAUGGUGCACUUUAAAUGAAGAUCCUAAAUGAGGCAUCACUUCGAUAUGUCUCAAAAGGAUGUGAAUCGUCAUAAAUUCUUCUUAACUGGUGGAAUGAGGACGAUUAUUUCUACUAUGUAGACACUCCACUUCAAUAUGAUUCUGUUGCCUCUCUUAUCGAGUCUCGGAUUCCAAGAAUCAGUCAUUUAAGUAGCGUAAGUUUUGUUAGUUCUUCUAAUAAUGGUAUAAUUCUUAUGGUUUUUCCUUAUGAUUUAAUCAUUUUGUGGAACCCAGCCAUCAAGGAAAUGUAUUAUGGACGUUGCUUGAGCCGCGUGAAAUUAAUGAAUACAUCAUUUUUUUAAGGUAUAAAGGUGAGUUCGAGAUCUAUAAUACAAAUGGAGAGAGAAGCAAAAUAGUUGAGGUUCCUGAGAUUGAGUCAUUGUUUUACUAUAUCAAUUGGAUUGUACCAUAUGUAGAAAGUUUGUUUUCUCCUAAACAGAGAUAAAUUCGAAAUUUUAAGAAGAUGAAUGCGUUAAAUACCAGAAAAGAAGAGGAAUGUAAUCUUGAAAGAAUAAUUCGAACUUAGUUAAAAUGCAAGGAAGGAUAUAAGAAAUGCUCAUAAUCAUGUUGAAUUUGGCUA
Molecule: long non-coding RNA, 785 nt
Organism: Solanum pennellii
Lineage: Eukaryota; Viridiplantae; Streptophyta; Magnoliopsida; Solanales; Solanaceae
Exons: 2
Source: RefSeq, a predicted model, not a curated record